Molecule: ribosomal RNA, 739 nt
Filed under: Bacillus sp. 'Bacillus M7'
Lineage: Bacteria; Bacillati; Bacillota; Bacilli; Caryophanales; Bacillaceae
Description: bacterial SSU rRNA
Rfam family: Bacterial small subunit ribosomal RNA
Source: RNAcentral
GGCGUGCCUAUACAUGCAAGUCGAGCGAAUGGAUUAAGAGCUUGCUCUUAUGAAGUUAGCGGCGGACGGGUGAGUAACACGUGGGUAACCUGCCCAUAAGACUGGGAUAACUCCGGGAAACCGGGGCUAAUACCGGAUAACAUUUUGAACCGCAUGGUUCGAAAUUGAAAGGCGGCUUCGGCUGUCACUUAUGGAUGGACCCGCGUCGCAUUAGCUAGUUGGUGAGGUAACGGCUCACCAAGGCAACGAUGCGUAGCCGACCUGAGAGGGUGAUCGGCCACACUGGGACUGAGACACGGCCCAGACUCCUACGGGAGGCAGCAGUAGGGAAUCUUCCGCAAUGGACGAAAGUCUGACGGAGCAACGCCGCGUGAGUGAUGAAGGCUUUCGGGUCGUAAAACUCUGUUGUUAGGGAAGAACAAGUGCUAGUUGAAUAAGCUGGCACCUUGACGGUACCUAACCAGAAAGCCACGGCUAACUACGUGCCAGCAGCCGCGGUAAUACGUAGGUGGCAAGCGUUAUCCGGAAUUAUUGGGCGUAAAGCGCGCGCAGGUGGUUUCUUAAGUCUGAUGUGAAAGCCCACGGCUCAACCGUGGAGGGUCAUUGGAAACUGGGAGACUUGAGUGCAGAAGAGGAAAGUGGAAUUCCAUGUGUAGCGGUGAAAUGCGUAGAGAUAUGGAGGAACACCAGUGGCGAAGGCGACUUUCUGGUCUGUAACUGACACUGAGGCGCGAAAGCG